AGUUCCUUAGUGUAGUGGUUUAUCACAUCUCCUUUACACGGAGAAGGUCAUGGGUUCGAUCCCCAUAGGAACUA
RNAcentral lists this transfer RNA (74 nucleotides) under Exophiala spinifera. Its description in RNAcentral is "tRNA-Val (TAC) (tRNA-Val-TAC-1-1)". It matches the Rfam family "tRNA". From Rfam's summary of the family: Transfer RNA (tRNA) molecules are approximately 80 nucleotides in length. Their secondary structure includes four short double-helical elements and three loops (D, anti-codon, and T loops). The record is from RNAcentral. Lineage: Eukaryota; Fungi; Ascomycota; Eurotiomycetes; Chaetothyriales; Herpotrichiellaceae. RNAcentral also lists the same sequence under 2 other names.